This 208-nucleotide ribosomal RNA is filed under the name uncultured Lysobacteraceae bacterium. Its description in RNAcentral is "uncultured Xanthomonadaceae bacterium partial 16S ribosomal RNA". It matches the Rfam family "Bacterial small subunit ribosomal RNA", at positions 568 to 775 of the family's 1533-position model. Lineage: Bacteria; Pseudomonadati; Pseudomonadota; Gammaproteobacteria; Lysobacterales; Lysobacteraceae. The record is from RNAcentral.
UGCGUAGGCGGUUUGUUAAGUCAGAUGUGAAAGCCCCGGGCUCAACCUGGGAACUGCAUUUGAUACUGGCAGGCUAGAGUACGGUAGAGGGUGGUGGAAUUCCCGGUGUAGCGGUGAAAUGCGUAGAGAUCGGGAGGAACAUCCGUGGCGAAGGCGGCCACCUGGACCAGUACUGACGCUGAGGCACGAAAGCGUGGGGAGCAAACAG